This 255-nucleotide ribosomal RNA is filed under the name uncultured bacterium. RNAcentral describes it as "partial 16S ribosomal RNA". It matches the Rfam family "Bacterial small subunit ribosomal RNA", at positions 524 to 776 of the family's 1533-position model. The record is from RNAcentral.
UACGUAGGGUGCGAGCGUUGUCCGGAAUUAUUGGGCGUAAAGAGCUUGUAGGUGGUUUGUCGCGGUCUGCUGGUGAAAAUCCGAGGCUCAACCUCGGACUUGCAGUGGGUACGGGCAGACUAGAGUGUGGUAGGGGAGACUGGAAUUCCUGGUGUAGCGGUGGAAUGCGCAGAUAUCAGGAGGAACACCAAUAGCGAAGGCAGCUCGCUGGGACGUUACUGACACUAAGGCGCGAAAGCGUGGGGAGCGAACAGG